This 498-nucleotide ribosomal RNA is filed under the name uncultured bacterium. RNAcentral's name for it is "bacterial SSU rRNA". It matches the Rfam family "Bacterial small subunit ribosomal RNA", at positions 28 to 518 of the family's 1533-position model. The record is from RNAcentral.
GAUGAACGCUAGCGACAGGCCUAACACAUGCAAGUCGAGGGGCAGCACAUGAGUAGCAAUACGAUGGUGGCGACCGGCGCACGGGUGAGUAACACGUAUGCAACCUGCCUGUAAGAGGGGAAUAACCCGGAGAAAUUCGGACUAAUACCGCAUAAUACCACGAGACUGCAUGGUUUUGUGGUUAAACAUUUAUGGCUUACAGAUGGGCAUGCGUAUGAUUAGAUAGUUGGUAGGGUAACGGCCUACCAAGUCUACGAUCAUUAGGGGUUCUGAGAGGAAGGUCCCCCACACUGGUACUGAGACACGGACCAGACUCCUACGGGAGGCAGCAGUGAGGAAUAUUGGUCAAUGGGCAGAGCCUGAACCAGCCAAGUCGCGUGAAGGAAGAAGGUUCUAUGGAUUGUAAACUUCUUUUGCAGGGGAAUAAAGGACGGUACGUGUACUGUUUUGUAUGUACCUUGCGAAUAAGGAUCGGCUAACUCCGUGCCAGCAGCCGAC